UAAAUGCAUCUAAGAUGCGAAUG
This 23-nucleotide microRNA is filed under the name Brugia malayi. RNAcentral describes it as "bma-miR-232". Its record names the gene bma-miR-232. The record is from miRBase by way of RNAcentral. Lineage: Eukaryota; Metazoa; Nematoda; Chromadorea; Rhabditida; Onchocercidae. RNAcentral also lists the same sequence under 1 other name.